AGUCUGGUGCCAGCAGCUGCGGUAAUACCAGCUCCAAUAGCGUAUAUUAAAGUUGUUGCAGUUAAAAAGCUCGUAGUUGGACUUGUGUGCGCUGUCCGCGGGUGGCCUGCGCCCAAAAGGGCGUUUCGGUUCGGCCCCGGUGGCCCUUGAAAUCUGCAGCUGGGGGGACGUUGGCCUUAACUGGUCGGCGACCGCACGCCGGCUGCUCGGUUACUGUGAGAAAAUUAGAGUGUUCAAGGCAGGCAUUGGGUGCAAUUGAAUACAUUAGCAUGGAAUAAUAAAAUAUGGCUCCUGCCGUAUUUUGUUGGUUUUGACUGGUGGGAGUAAUGAUUGAUAGGGACGGUUGGGGGUGCUAGUAUUGAGCGGCCAGAGGUGAAAUUCAUGGAUUCGCUCAAGACUAACUUAUGCGAAAGCAUUCACCAAGGACGUCCUCUUUAAUCAAGAACGAAAGUUGGGGGAUCGAAGACGAUCAGAUACCGUCGUAGUCUCAACCAUAAACUAUGUCGACUUGGGAUCGGCGGUAGUUUUUUCAUUAAGACACUGUCGGGACCACGGGAGAAAUCAAAGUGUCUGACUCUGGGGGAAGUAUGGUCGCAAGGCUGAAACUUGAAGGAAUUGACGGAAGGGCACCACCAGGAGUGGAGCCUGCGGCUUAAUUUGACCCAACACGGGGAAACUUACCAGGUCCAGAGAUAUAGAGGAUUGACAGAUUGAAGCUCUUUCUUGAUCACUUCGGUGGUGGUGCAUGGCCGUUCUUAGUUGGUGGAGUGAUUUGUCUGGUUAAUUCCGUUAACGAACGAGACCUCAGCCUGCUAGUGUAGUCGGCUGGAUUGCCUUUGGCGAUCCGUGAUUUCGACUUCUUAGAGGGACAAUCGACGCGCAGUCGAUGGAAGUUUGAGGCAAUAACAGGUCUGUGAUGCCCUUAGAUGUUCUGGGCCGCACGCGCGCUACACUGCUGGGCUCAGCGAGUUUUACUUGGCCGAGAGGCCCGGUUAAUCUUGUGAAAUCCCAGCGUGCUUGGGCUCGCCUCCUGCAACUGGAGGCGCGAACGAGGAAUUCCUAGUAGACGCAGGUCAUCAACCUGCAUCGAUUACGUCCCUGCCCUUUGUACACACCGCCCGUCGUUCCAUAAGAGUGAGGCAUCCGGUGAAUUCUCGGGAGAGCCUGGGCGUGGCCAGCAAUGGUCUGCUCGGGUUUGAACUUGCAUAAACUUGGUGCCUAUGAUUAGGG
Molecule: ribosomal RNA, 1230 nt
Filed under: metagenome
Description: SSU rRNA
Rfam family: Eukaryotic small subunit ribosomal RNA
Source: RNAcentral